Acyrthosiphon pisum (pea aphid) is the source of this 45-nucleotide non-coding RNA. NCBI's taxonomy places the organism in Eukaryota, Metazoa, Arthropoda, Insecta, Hemiptera, Aphididae. The record is from Rfam.
AAAACGGUCUUUCUCAAGGCCACAUAUAAACAGAUAAAACAAGCG